This 1370-nucleotide long non-coding RNA is filed under the name Ficedula albicollis (Collared flycatcher). RNAcentral describes it as "lncRNA (ENSFALG00000024940.1)". Lineage: Eukaryota; Metazoa; Chordata; Aves; Passeriformes; Muscicapidae. The record is from RNAcentral.
AUGGUGAUUUUUCUUUUUUAAAACAAAUUAUGGUUUCAUAACUUUCCCUAAUUCGGAGUAUGUGAAAUGAAAUUUAUUUUUUUUAUUAUUUUCAGGUUUAUUCCACUGCAGACAUGAACAAAAGACCAAAACACUGACACUGGUUUUAGAGGAUGGCAGUGCAGGUAGCCAUGGCAACAGAGAACUCUGUGUACUCCCUCCCAGUGUACUCUCAAAUGCCAGAUGAGAGAGAGAUCAAGCAUAUUCUGAAUGGAUGUUGGAGUCAGCAGCAAAGGCCUGUGACUUGCUAACUUAGAGUGAGCACCCUCUUCUGUAGUCUAUAUCCUAAUUCAUCACCACGCUCUUCAAAUUUGAAAAUACAUUUAUAAUGUACCCUCAGAAAGCUUGCCCUGGCCAAAAUGCUGAAGAGGAGAGUGCACAGCAGCCCUCACCCUUACUCUAGGACAUCCAGCCAACCCUUGCAGGAUAAGACAGAAAGGCACCCUGUCCUGCAGUAACUCACAUAACCUAUUUCUCAUCAGCUACAUGGAUUUCAAAAUCACCAGUAAAAUAUUCUAAACCUUUGCAGUGCCAGUUGGAAACACCUGACAAAAAAAAUGGUUCUUUCAACAUCAUUGUAUGUGAAGUUGAGGUUGGUUUAUAAAAGAAACUGAUGAGAAGUAAUGAUAUGGUUCACUUUGAAAACUUGUAAUAAGAGCAGCAAGUAAUAGGACAAAGUAAAAGACAUUAUGGUACUUUAGUCCAAGGAGUCUGUUUUGGUCUGAUGCAAAGUUGUGCAUCUCCUAAAUAAAAGGAAAAACUGAGGAAAAACAAGUUACAGCUCUGUAAAAGCACCAAAAAUUGUGGCUUGUAUAUAUAUACCAGGAAAGAAGGAUCUGACUGCAUCUUCACUGAACAGCUGUCUUCACUCUUCAGCUGUGAGAGAGUAUUCAACCACACAGUUUCUGUUUUCAAGCAUUGCUCUGGAUAGCAUGUAUUUCUUGCAGUGCAGCUGCAACAUUAUUAAAAUCAGACUUACUUUAUCUUUCUCACUAUAACUGUAAAUGGGAUUGGGCUAUCAGCUAGCUGUUAACCUGCAGGAAACACCCUUUGACUUGAUCAGUGCUGUAUGAAUCUACAGUACAGACAAUUGAUUAUGCUUGCACAUCAGUAUGAACUGUGGGUAUGACUUCUUUCAUAUUCUUAGCACAUAAUAACAAAAACUCUUGACACAUCUUAUAACUCAUAUUCCCAAAGAUGCUUUCAUUCAUUCUGCUAAGAGUAAAAAUGUGGUUCAGUAGUGUAGCUGACAAGUUGAUGCUCAUGCAUAAGCACAUAAUGUAGAAAUCCAGUCCUGCCAGGUGAUGUGUGCUGUGCUCAGGGAGACAUUU